Molecule: unclassified non-coding RNA, 179 nt
Filed under: Glomeromycotina sp.
Lineage: Eukaryota; Fungi; Glomeromycota
Description: partial contains small subunit ribosomal RNA, internal transcribed spacer 1, and 5.8S ribosomal RNA
Rfam family: Eukaryotic small subunit ribosomal RNA (bases 1-47)
Source: RNAcentral
AAAGUCGUAACAAGGUUUCCGUAGGUGAACCUGCGGAAGGAUCAUUAUUGAAUCUAGCAGGCCUGGCAUUUAUUUUGCCUGGCUUGCGCGUAUUUAAAACCCCACACUUUUGAAAAUAAAACAUAUCUUAAAAAUAAGUAAUUAAAAGAUCACUUUCAACAACGGAUCUCUUGGUUCUC